Molecule: transfer RNA, 69 nt
Filed under: Dysdercus decussatus
Lineage: Eukaryota; Metazoa; Arthropoda; Insecta; Hemiptera; Pyrrhocoridae
Description: tRNA-Asn
Source: RNAcentral
UUAAUUGAAGCCAAAAUAGAGGCCUCUUAUUGUUAAUAAGAUAACUGAUAUAUUAUUUAUCCAAUUAAA